GCUACACUCGGCUUGUGCUUCUGCUGUUUCUCCUUCCCAAACUGUCGAGAGCUACUUCGAAGGAAAUCAAUGGCGGCUGAGAACAAACCCAGUGCCAGUUCCAAUUCUAAUUCUGGGAAUAACAAUGGAGGCAAGGGAAAGAAGCGCAAGUACCUUCCCCAUGGGAAACCAGUGAGAAAGGGUUCGUACCCGUUGCAUCCUGGCGUGCAGGGCUUCUUCAUCACCUGUGAUGGUGGGAGGGAGCGCCAGGCCACCAAUGAAGCUCUUAAUCUACUUGACACUUUCUAUGAAGAGCUAGUGCAUGGAAAAACUUCCAGCACAAAUAGCAGGACGAUUCCUAGUAAACCCUUGAAUAAAAUAACUAAAUUCAAGGAUUCUGAUUCUUCGAGUGAUGAAGAUGAUUCUUCACAACCAAAUGAUCAAAAUGUUGAGAAAUCUGCUGAGGAAAGUGAAGAAUCACUGGCAAAGAAGCAAAAUGAUCAAAAUGUUGAGAAAUCUGCUGAGAAAAGUGAGAAAUCACUGGUGAAGGAGCAAAAUGAUCAAAAUGUUGAGAAAUCUGCUAAGGAAACUGAGAAAUCACUGGUGAAGGAGCAAAAUGAUCAAAAUGUUGAGAAAUCUGUUGAGGAAACUGAGGAAUCACCAGUAAAGAAGCAACGGGUAGAAGGCAAUUCAUCUAAUUGUAAAAACAUUGAGUCUGAUAAAGCUAAAGAUAAAUGCAUAGAUGAUCUGAUCGAAGAUGAACUCAAAGAAUUGGGCGAUAGGAACAAGAGGCAUUUCGCAAGCCUUGAUUCAGGUUGUAAUGGUGUUAUCUUCAUACAAAUGCAUAAAAAGGAUGGAGUUCCUGGUCCAUCUAGCAUUGUACAGCACAUGAUGACUUCUGCUGCUUCCACAAGAAAACACAUGUCAAGAUUCAUUCUGAGAAUUCUACCUGCUGAAGUUGCAUGUUAUGCUUCAGAAGAGGAAAUUACAAAAGCGAUUAAACCGCUUGUUGAACAUCAUUUUCCAGCUGAACCUCCAAAUCCACAAAAGUUUGCAGUGUUAUAUGAAGCACGAUCCAAUACUGGCAUUGAAAGGAUGCCCAUCAUCAAUGCUGUUGCAAAAUCUGUUCCUCAACCACAUAAAGUGGACCUUAAGAACCCAGAUAAAACUAUCAUAGUUCAAAUUGUCAAGACUAUUUGCUUAGUGGGCGUGGUCAAAAAGUACAAAGAGCUGUCUAAAUACAAUCUGAGGCAACUUACUUCCCCACAAGGAUCCGAAAAUAACUAAUGUGCUUAGAAGACGGUCCAAGUGAAGAUUCUAGGGGUAAAUUUUUUGAAAGGUCACCCGGUUUUUUCCUGCCCCUUUUUGCUUACGUGGCUAUCGGAGGAGGUGAGUCAGGCUACUCUUGACACGCUGGAUGGCUUAGCUGGACACGCCACGUUAGCUCCUUCUUCUCCAAGAGGAUUUUGGUUACAUAACAAGAGUGAAGAAGUCAGCUUCUUCUUCUCCAAGCUAGCAUUGACAAUGGGAAGACGAGGGUGAACAAGUCAAGGCUCAAUCGAGCUGCUAAGUAGGAGUGGAUCUUCUAACGUGUUUUGUUUGUUUGUUUUUUUUAUGCCCUAGCUGUGAAGUUUAGAUUCCUGUGUGUUUCAAUGUAAAUAAUUGGAAAGAAUGGAGAUUAGAUUCUUUUUAAUCCUUGUUAAAACCCUAGCUGAGAAGUUUAGUUUUUGUGUAAUCAUCUGUAAAACCCUAGCUGCAUAACCAAAAUCCUCUUGGAGAAGAAGAAGCUGACGUGGUGCCCCUUCACCUGACGUGGCGUGCGCUGCUUGAGCUAGUGAGCUUCACUUGACAUGGCGUGUCCAACUAAGCCAUCCAGCGUGUCAGGAGCAACCUGACUCACCCCUCCGGCAGCCACGUAAGCAAAGGGGGGUGGGAAAAGACCGGGUGACCUGCCGGUGUGAUGAAAUCAAAAGUGAGUGAUCAAAAAAAUUCAAAUUGAAGCUGGGUGAUCAAUUUGCAAAAUGAUGAAAGGUGGGUGACCUUUCAAAAAAUUUACUCAGAUUCUAGAGUGACUUGGGCUAUGAAAAUGAUGCGUAACUCGACAUUAAUUAAGAUUUUCUGAGGAAAGCAAUCAAUACCAACAAAUUUAUAUGGUGUCGAUCCUCAUGUGGUCUGGUAAAGACGUAAGCAACAUCGAAUGACAAGGUAGAAAGAAUGGUGUGAAGAUAUGAUUGAUGGUCAAUCAAAUCUUCAAGUGAGAGAAAUGUAAGUCAAAUAUUGUAGCUGAGAAAAAAGUGAGGGCGAGAGAGAAAAUGGGAGAAAAAUAGUGAGAAGAAGAGUUAGAGGAUCUGUGUUGCUUAUAUUAUAGGAGAGAAUAAGUUCUCUUU
Dioscorea cayenensis subsp. rotundata (Guinea yam) is the source of this 2366-nucleotide RNA transcript. It is a transcript of the gene named THUMP domain-containing protein 1 homolog, with no coding region annotated. NCBI's taxonomy places the organism in Eukaryota, Viridiplantae, Streptophyta, Magnoliopsida, Dioscoreales, Dioscoreaceae. The record is from RefSeq and is a predicted model, not a curated record. The transcript has 10 exons.